CAGGUGGGCACUCCUGAGCCUGCAGAGCAGAAAAGACCACCAACACUGCCCACCCCUGCCCACAUCCCUAUCCCAAGAGGAAACUGUAUAUGGCCUCUGGGUUCCCGUAGAGGAGGGCCCAGGUGCAGCAGGACCGCUGCGUCUGAGACACAUCCAGAACCUGAAGAGACUGACCAGAUAAACAGUUCUCUGCACCCAAAUCCCGUGGGAGGGAGAGCUCAACCUUCAGAGAGGCAGACACGCCUGGGAAACCAGAAAAGACUGCACUCUGCACACAUCUCUGACGCCAGAGGAAAACACCAAAUGCCCUCUGGAAGCCUGGUGCACGGAAGCUCCCAGAAAGAGCAGCGCAGAUCUUCCUGGUUGCUGCUGCUGCUGAGAGCUCAUAAGCAAAACCCCACGAGCAAACUUGAUCCUCAGAACCUCAGGUAAGACCAACUUUUCUGCUGCAAGUGACCUGCCUGGUGAACUCCAGACACAGUCCCACAGGAACAGCUGAAGACCUGUAGAUAGGAAAAACUACACGCCCGAAAGCAGAACACUCUGUUCACAUAACUGGCUGAAAGAAAACAGGAAAA
Molecule: long non-coding RNA, 578 nt
Filed under: Rattus norvegicus (Norway rat)
Lineage: Eukaryota; Metazoa; Chordata; Mammalia; Rodentia; Muridae
Description: long non-coding RNA NONRATT023085
Source: RNAcentral